RNAcentral lists this long non-coding RNA (5006 nucleotides) under Phoenix dactylifera (date palm). Its description in RNAcentral is "long non-coding RNA (PDAC_LNC008591)". Lineage: Eukaryota; Viridiplantae; Streptophyta; Magnoliopsida; Arecales; Arecaceae. The record is from RNAcentral.
AUCGAGGCCGGACGCUUGUGUGGUUGCGAAGCAUCCUUGAAGGACCCCCUUCUAAAGGUAAGAGAUCUGAUCUCUUUUACGGUUGAGAUAUGAUCUCAAUCUUCAAAUCACAAGAAGUUAUAAUUUAUGCAUAUUUAUUUGAAUCACACAAUCCUCGAAAUCUGAGGGCUUUGUGAUAUUUGGUGUCAAAGCAAAGGAUUAGUGGAGACUAUCCGAUUUCCGAAAACUCUCACGCGUGAUCGUGUGACGAAGCGUGGCUCUCCAUCCAAGGGCUCAUGUGAUGAGUGCUUUGAUAGGCACGCGCGAGUGUCACCCUAUGUAUUGGGACUGAGCCCGCGCCACAUGUGAUAUGCAGUUGAAAUCUGUCUUCGACUGGUACCAGAGUCAAAAUAUCUAAAAUAUCAAGCUUGUUUUGGGUUAAAAUGUUUAACCCGUUCUUUCCGUAUAAAAUUUUCUGAAAUUCAUGCUUAGCCCUCUGCACGCACACCAUCAAAUUAAAUGAUAGCAUUGUGAACUGAUUGCACCUGCCACAAAAUGGAGUUCUAAUAGCUUCUUAGGCGAACUCUUCAUUCUGCAUCCCAUCAAAUUAGGAAAUAUCUCCAUUAACUCUACUAUACUCCAUCACCCUUCUAACCUUAAAGCUAUUUCAAACUAAAAACACAAAGUUAAUACUUCUCAUCGAAUUCAGAUUAUCAUACAAACAUAUCAUGUAUUAUGAACAUAUGCAGAAGCUAAUACUUCAAAAUUCUAAAAAGAAUCUACCGCAAAACCUAUUUGUAUUGAUUGAAUCCACACACUAAAAAUAGAAUUGAAUCUGAUUCAAACAUGAAUCAAACUUGACCAAAUCCAUCCGCUAAAAACAUAUGUGCUAGUCAGCUCUAGGUCCUAAACCUCAACCCUGUUCGCCAACUUGGCUAAUGACCUUAUAUGAGUGAGCCCAAGCUGAAUAGACUCAACCAUAUGUGACAAAGAACAACCAAAAGUAGUUCAACAUGUCACGAUUGGCUAAUAAAAUUCAGACUUUAUCGACACAGGCUUGGUGCAGAAGCUAUUAAUUCACCAUAACAAGUCAUAUGGUUGUAUAUGUGGGGAAUGGAAUUUAAAGAUAAAAUAAAUUAGAGCUGUUAUCUAUGCAUUCCUCUCACCAUCUUCCUAUCAAAAUACAUCAUAUCUUUCGAUUUUUCUUAAACACUUUAAAUGACCGUGGAUACCGAAUUCACUACUACAGUGGUAUCCAACCCAGCUAUCUAAAUCAAUUUCAAUGCACUAGUGGUUCUAAUUUAAGUACAUUGAUUUCACCAUGCAAAAUUCAGCACUAAGUAAAAUUAUUAUGAAGGAAAAAUAUCAUUCUACACCGAGCUACUGCAAUCUUAUUUAAUUAGCUUACAGAAGCAUCAUGUGUAUUGCAAACAUAUGCAGAAGUGAAUGCUUCAAAUUCAAAGAAAUGCGAGUUAGAUAUACCAGGAUCUAGCACAAACACUAUUUGCAUUGAUUGUAUCUAUACACUACAAAUAGACUUGAAUCUGAUUCAAACGUGACUCAAUCUUGACCAGAUCCACCCACUAAAAAUAGAUACGCUGGUCAGCUCUCGUCCUAAACCUCGAUUCUAUUCUCCAACUUGCUGUGAUCCUGUAUGAGUGAACCCAAGCUAAAUAGACUCAAUAUUGUGAGACAAAUAAAACCAAAAGUACUUCAAGAUGUCAUGUGUGGUUUAUAAAAUUCAAACAUUAUAGAUACUGGCUUGGUGAAGAAUGUUAUUAGAUCAGCAUAAGCAAUCGUACAGAAGUACAUGCAGAGAGUGGAAUUUAAAGAUACAUCUAUCACAUCUUCUUCCUGUUGAAAUCUAUCGUAAUGUUUCAGUUAUAAUAAUGAGAAUUAAGUCCAGCUAUUGUUUAUAACCCCAUUCCCCACCACAGCAGUAUCCAUCCCAGCUAUCUAAAUCAUUAUAGGUGCAUCAGUCAGUACUAAUUUCAGUUGAUUGAUUUCACCAUGCAAAAUUUAACACCGAAUAUAAUUGAUGUGAAGGAAAUAUCAUGCGACGCUGAGAUACUACAACCCUGUUUAUGUUGAAAAUAACAAUUUUGACUUAUUUAGAACAGAUCAUUCACCCAACUGGUUCUAACUUCUAUAAAGAAAAACCAGAAAACAUUCAAUGAAAACAGAACUUAGAUCGCCUAAAGAAGUAAGAAGAAAAAAACAAAAUGUCCAAAUUUAAUCAAUCAUACGCAUGUAGAAUAAUCCAUGGGCGCAAACUAAAUCUACUUAAAUUUUCAUCCAAAUAUUUCGAGACAAGCAACAAGAGAGAGAUAAAGAAGGAGGUUUAACUGAUGGGGCAGGUAAUGAGAAAUCCGGAAUGGGAGCGUUCGAGAAGCGAAGAGGGGGCCGUGCAGUCGUAGCGAGGGAGAUUGAUCACGGCCGAGUGCUGCUCCCAUGGCGUCAUUCCCUCUGCCUUCUCCCCAUCCCAUGAGCCAAGCAGCUCUUUCACCUCCUCCUUUGAUGGACCUAAGGCCAUUUGUACCUUCUCUUCCGCCUUGUCUGCUUAUUCUUUGGCUUCUUUUCUUCCAGAAUAUUUCGCGAACCCAGAGCGGCUCGGGAACGUAACACUUAUUAAAUUUUGGGAUGGUCCGAGUCUCAUCGGACCGGGCCUUCUUAGUGUCGGGAGUUGGACCUGGCUCAAAGGUAAUUGGAUCAGGCUUGGCCCUAAAACUAGAGCCCAAUCAAAUUUUGGGAUGGUCUUGGGUCACUGCAUAGCCAAACCGAACCUGGUCCAAAGCCCAAGCUCGACUCUAGGUGUGAUAACCGGCCCAAAUUGUGCUCAUAUUGGACUUCAAUCUAAAAUUCAAAACAAAAAAAAGGGAUCAAAACAGAGGAACUGCAUUCCUCUGCCUGAUCCCCCGGCCAUUGAAAUAGGGCUGCAGAGCCGUGGCCGAUGGUGACUCCUUGGGCUGGUAUAAACAGCCUACAGUCGUUACGUCACUGUAUCCGACGAAUGGGUGGCCUAUCUUUCUAUUGAAUCGAUCCUAUACCAUCCCCUUCCGAACUUCUCUUUAAAUUGUCCCUUAUUUCAUGCGAUUGAUCACCACCAAGCCUCCCUUUCCCCCUUUUUCCUCAUCUCCAGUAGCCAUUAUGCCAUCACAGUCAAGUGCCACUGCCCAAAACCACUUUUCUCUUCUUUCUCUUUCUCCUCUCCGUUUUUACCUUUCUAAUUUUUUCCUUUAUUUGCAUCCCAUUUUUCCUCAUUUAAUAUUUUGUAAAACAAAAAAGGUGGGGAAGAAGGAAAUCAUCCCCUAAUAUUAUCUCUCCUCUUCAGAUCAAACCCAAAGCCUUGAGUAAACCUAAGUCAAAUCUCUCUUGCUAGUCGACCUAGACCGAAUAGGUCAGGCCCCAGAUUAGACCUAAACCAAGUGAAUCAGACCCAAAAACCCAGUUGGCCUUAGAUCUGGUAUCUCUUUCUCCUUUCUAUGUUGGUCAACCCAUUCCAAGCAGAUCAUGCCCUUAGUUGAAUCGAGACCGAGUCUCUCUGCCCUUUCCAUCUCUGCUGGCUGACCUCAAUCGAGCCUAAUUUUCUUUAAUUAACCUUUUUUAAUUAAUUAAAAAUUUUGAUCUAAUCUAGGAACAUUAAUUUGAUCAAGUGGAAACUCGGAUCUAAAAUGCGAGGACAUAUGAUCAAGGCUUGUUCCUUUGCAUUUGUACGAACCCCAUCUCAAUUCGUGUAUGGAUCCACGGAAUGAUUAAAAUGCUUGGAUGUUAAACUAGUGUUGGUGGUCAGGACAUGGACUGGAUGCUGCCUUAGGAUAUUUCAAAUUAUUAUAUAAUGCUUUAUAGGAAUCUAAUAAGGCACUAAAUUAUUCUAGAUUUUUGGACAAUUUUUUUAAUUAACAAAUUUCAAGAAAUUUUAGAGUGGAGAUUGAAUGAUACCUCUAUCCCUAGUGUUUAAUCAUGAUCCAAUUUGCAUUAUUUAGAAAUUAAUAUAUUGCUAUUAUAUUUUGAUAAAAUUAAGUAUUGUAUGCACGCUACAUGAAAUUGAAUUGUAAAAUAUUGAAUCAAGUAUGCUAUGAAUUACUUGGACAAGUAUCAUAUUUUAUUAUAUGGAUAAAGGUGUUGAUAUCAUAUGUGUUCUAAUUUUGUUACUCUUUAGUUCAACUACGAUCAUACGAGUUAAGGAUCUGGUCUUCUUCUGCAUCUAUAAUGGGGCGAUCACUAGCGCAUGCCAACUGAUAGCAUAUUAUAGUCAGGAGCUAGUUCCCUUUUGAACCUAGCCAGUCGGGACUGAUCGCUAGCACAUGCUAAUAGAAACAUAUCUUUUCGUGUAAUUUUAGAGCUAGUUUUCUUCUGGGCCUCCACUAGGACAAACACUGGCAUAUGAUCGGUGGAUGAUGAGAGCACAAAAGUGCAAUCGUCAUACCAUCUUAAUUAGUAUUAUAGCUAAUCAUUAAUAAUAAAAUUAACUNNNNNNNNNNNNNNNNNNNNUGAUGAGAGCACAAAAGUGCAAUCGUCAUACCAUCUUAAUUAGUAUUAUAGCUAAUCAUUAAUAAUAAAAUUAACUAAUUAAUAUAGUAUUUGUGCUUCAGUGCGAGUAAUCCAAGAAACUAAUUAACAUUGGGUUUGAGCCUAAUGCCCGGCAGCCCGAGCUCAAGUCAAGCCAGCAUCUCCACGUGAUGGAGCUCAGCCCCACGAUGCAACUGGACCUCUUCCGUCACCAACGGUUUUUAGCCUUCAAUCCCAACGUGCCCCCAUAAUUUUCCAGCGUCCGAGCCGCAUCAAAAUCCUAGCUUCCUUCCCCAUCGCGUGAGCCUAAGCAUUCAAGUCCAGCCGGUCCAUGCGAUCACGGGAGACCGCAGCCCAUUCCAAGCUUCACGCGAUGAAUCCAUCAAUAGCGUGCCAGCAACGCCCACGUCCGCUCAUCCCGGAAUCCCUGCAUCGCGUCCCCCUCUUGGCCCAAAGAAGGAAGUUCACAGCCUCCUCCAAGCGUCCGCACAUCUACCUCCCGUCGAUCCCGCUGCGGC